AGACUUUGAUUAUGGCUCAGGAUGAACGCUAGCGGCAGGCUUAACACAUGCAAGUCGAGGGGCAGCGCGAGUAGCAAUACUUGGCGGCGACCGGCGCAAGGGUGCGUAACGCGUGAGCAACAUGCCCGUAUCAGGGGGAUAAUCCAGGGAAACUUGGUCUAAUACCCCAUAGUAAUUUUGUAAGGCAUCUUAUGGAAUUUAAAGCUUUGGUGGAUACGGAUUGGCUCGCGUGACAUUAGCCGGAUGGUAAGGUAACGGCUUACCAUGGCUAUGAUGUCUAGGGGUUCUGAGAGGAAGGUCCCCCACACUGGAACUGAGACACGGUCCAGACUCCUACGGGAGGCAGCAGUGAGGAAUAUUGGACAAUGGAUGGAAAUCUGAUCCAGCCAUGCCGCGUGCAGGAAGACGGUCCUAUGGAUUGUAAACUGCCUUUGUAUGGGAGCAAUAAGGCCUUCGUGAAGGCUG
Molecule: ribosomal RNA, 465 nt
Filed under: uncultured bacterium
Lineage: Bacteria
Description: bacterial SSU rRNA
Rfam family: Bacterial small subunit ribosomal RNA
Source: RNAcentral